AAAUUGAAGAGUUUGAUCAUGGCUCAGAUUGAACGCUGGCGGCAGGCCUAACACAUGCAAGUCGAACGGUAGCACAGAGAGCUUGCUCUCGGGUGACGAGUGGCGGACGGGUGAGUAAUGUCUGGGAAACUGCCCGAUGGAGGGGGAUAACUACUGGAAACGGUAGCUAAUACCGCAUAAUGUCGCAAGACCAAAGUGGGGGACCUUCGGGCCUCACACCAUCGGAUGUGCCCAGAUGGGAUUAGCUUGUUGGUGGGGUAACGGCUCACCAAGGCGACGAUCCCUAGCUGGUCUGAGAGGAUGACCAGCCACACUGGAACUGAGACACGGUCCAGACUCCUACGGGAGGCAGCAGUGGGGAAUAUUGCACAAUGGGCGCAAGCCUGAUGCAGCCAUGCCGCGUGUAUGAAGAAGGCCUUCGGGUUGUAAAGUACUUUCAGCGGGGAGGAAGGCGUUGUGGUUAAUAACCGCAGCGAUUGACGUUACCCGCAGAAGAAGCACCGGCUAACUCCGUGCCAGCAGCCGCGGUAAUACGGAGGGUGCAAGCGUUAAUCGGAAUUACUGGGCGUAAAGCGCACGCAGGCGGUUUGUUAAGUCAGAUGUGAAAUCCCCGGGCUCAACCUGGGAACUGCAUUUGAAACU
This 642-nucleotide ribosomal RNA is filed under the name Salmonella enterica subsp. enterica. Its description in RNAcentral is "bacterial SSU rRNA". It matches the Rfam family "Bacterial small subunit ribosomal RNA", at positions 1 to 634 of the family's 1533-position model. The record is from RNAcentral. Lineage: Bacteria; Pseudomonadati; Pseudomonadota; Gammaproteobacteria; Enterobacterales; Enterobacteriaceae.